UUGGCCUACGGGGCGCAGCAGUGGGGAAUAUUGGGCAAUGGGCGCAAGCCUGACCCAGCAACGCCGCGUGAAGGAAGAAGGCUUUCGGGUUGUAAACUUCUUUUCUCAGGGACGAAGCAAGUGACGGUACCUGAGGAAUAAGCCACGGCUAACUACGUGUCAGCAGCCGCGGUAAUACAUAGGUGGCAAGCGUUAUCCGGAUUUACUGGGUGUAAAGGGCGUGUAGGCGGGACUGCAAGUCAGAUGUGAAAACCAUGGGCUCAACCUGUGGCCUGCAUUUGAAACUGUAGUUCUUGAGUACUGGG
RNAcentral lists this ribosomal RNA (305 nucleotides) under uncultured bacterium. RNAcentral describes it as "bacterial SSU rRNA". It matches the Rfam family "Bacterial small subunit ribosomal RNA", at positions 334 to 653 of the family's 1533-position model. The record is from RNAcentral.